ACAUAAGUAGGAUGAUCCUUACCUGUUCUUUCUUUUUGGGGGAAGUCUUUGAACAUGAUGGUUUGAGUUGCCAUGGUCAAUGUCUUUGUGUAAUCAAGACUUGCAAUGCCCUGAUUCUCCUCUCUUCU
Molecule: small nucleolar RNA, 128 nt
Organism: Suricata suricatta (meerkat)
Lineage: Eukaryota; Metazoa; Chordata; Mammalia; Carnivora; Herpestidae
Gene: U8
Rfam family: U8 small nucleolar RNA
About the family: U8 is a member of the C/D class of snoRNA which contain the C (UGAUGA) and D (CUGA) box motifs. U8 is the RNA component of a small complex (the U8 snoRNP) which is required for accumulation of mature large subunit ribosomal RNAs, 5.8S and 28S rRNAs. U8 RNA has been identified in human, mouse, rat and Xenopus.
Source: Ensembl